CGGUAAUUCAAAAAAAAUAAAAAUUACUACAAUAAUAGAGAAAAUAACAAACGAACUUCUUUUUCGCGUCGAAUCACGGCGAAUCACAUUUGACGUCACAGGCUGCAUUACGUCAUUUGAAAUUUUGUCACAGUGCAGUAAACAUGGCGUUCUCUUGUACAAAGUAUUGAAAAGGAAUUAUUGCAUGUGUUUCAUUAAUAUUCUGCUUUGGACAUGACUCUAACAAUGGCAAAUAUAAUAGUAGCAUACCGGUAAGUCAGAUUUCUUUAUUUUUCACAAAGCAUUAACAUAGAGGGGGAUAGGAGGGUCCUGAUCCCGAAAUCCCGGGUUUAAAAAC
This 337-nucleotide long non-coding RNA is filed under the name Mytilus galloprovincialis (Mediterranean mussel). The record is from RNAcentral. Lineage: Eukaryota; Metazoa; Mollusca; Bivalvia; Mytilida; Mytilidae.